Molecule: long non-coding RNA, 3519 nt
Filed under: Triticum aestivum (bread wheat)
Lineage: Eukaryota; Viridiplantae; Streptophyta; Magnoliopsida; Poales; Poaceae
Description: long non-coding RNA (TAES_LNC014969)
Source: RNAcentral
UUCCCGCUGUUGCUCCCCCCGAUCUAGAAACUUAGCCGAGCGAAGUCGUCGCCGCCGCCUUCGUCGAUCCCGCGGCCACCGGCCUCCCCUCCCCGCGCCAAGACAUCCAGGGGCUCCUCCAUCGUUGUCUCCUUUUCCCUCGCAUAAGAGCCCGAGCUAGGAGGCGCCGUACACUCGCCAUCGCUGUCAUCUUCGCCCAUAGCCGCCGCAUCUCGUCGUCGAGUUCUUCGUGUCCGGCCACCACCGUGCUCCCCGACCACGUCCACAAGCUCCGCGGUGAGCAUCUCCUCCGAUUCCCGGCUUUUACUCCGUUGAUUUGUUGCCGUAUCGUCAUCCCCAUGAGCUCGAGCGCCAUGGCCGAAACAUCUCGUCCGCGUGCGCGCCCACGUGUUCCUGGUCACGCCCUCGCCAGCCACCCACGCUCGCGCCCUCUGGUGCCUCCGCCCCGUGCCCGCGCGCCGGCCGCCCUACUGCGCGUCGCUCCGGCCGCCCGGUGCCUCCCGCUGCUAUACUACUGUUGCUUCUGUUGCCGUUGGCCACUACUCCUGUGCCGCUGGCAGCUACUGUCGCUUCGGCCUCCUGAUGCUGCCGCUGCGUUGCUUGCUCUGCCCACUGUCACUCCCGCUAGAAGCCGCCAUCGUUGCUGCUACUUGCCCGCAAGCCCCUGCCUACGCGCCGGCAGGGCCGCGCCCCGCGCCAUGCCCGCAACUGCGCCUCGUGUGUGCCUGCUCCUUGCGUGCCGCUGCACUGUUCCUUUGCUACUGCCUUGCUGCUACUUAGCUGCCACCGUUGCUCUUACUUCUGCUGCUGCUCAUUGCUUUGCCAUGGCCGUGGUGUUGUGCAGCGUAGUGUGUGUGUGUGCGUGAGUGUGUGUUCUGUGUGUGUGGCUGGCCCAAAUACUAGUUUAGGGACUAGUUUAGUUAGUUAGUCUAAUUAGUAGUAUUAGUUAAUUAGUCUAAUAGUAGGUGACAUGUGGACCCAUGGUUAGUUUAAAGAAAAAUAAAUUUUCAGAAAAGUCUAAGUCAAUGACAUGUAGCCCCUUACACUGUUCAUAUGUUGACUAUUCAACAUUUGACUGGGUCAACACAACCCCACUGGUCCCACUGUCAUACACUAUGGCUACAAUAGCACUAGGUGACAGAAGUAUUUUGUUGUUUUAUUUUCGAAUUAAAAGAAUUCUUUAAAUAUAUAAAAUCAUUUUAAACUUUGUAAAUUCAUAUAAAAUAAUCCGUAACUCGGAUGAAAAUAAUUUAUAUAUGAAAGUUGCUCAGAAAAAUCCAACAAAUCCGGAUACACGGUCCGUUCAUCUGUCACAUGCCCCUAGCACGCUGAACAUGGAACCGUCCCCUCUCUUUUCAUUUGUCCGAAAAACUUCAGACGCCGGGAAAACCCCUCCGGAUGUUUUCCUUCUCCGUCUGCAGCGUCUAGCAAUGUGUUAGUUCACCCCUAACAUCGUGUAUUACCAUGUUAUGCUUUAUGAUGCUUUGUUUGCUUUAUAUUUAUUGUUUCUUCCCCCUCUUCUCUCCUGUAGAUCCCGAGACCGAGGCUGCCCCUGUGAUCGACUACGUCGGCGAUGACACUUCUUUCUUUUCAGCAGAGCUUUCAAGCAAGCAAACCCUCCUUGAGCAUUCCGAUAUCGCCCAUUUAUUUCCCUCUCAUGCUUGCAUUAGAACUACUACUGCUUUCUGUAUGAUCCUACUCUGAUGCAUAGCCUGUUGUUGUUACCUGCUUUCAUACCUUACCUGCUUAUCCUAAACUGCUUAGUAUAGGUUGGUUAGUGAUCCAUCAGUGACCCCCACCUUGUCCCAGUUUCCCCGCUUUAUGUUCGAUGACUCGAUCAACGUGAUCGACGUCCAGGCCCCGACACCGCACAUCACCCCCCUAGUUGUACGACUCUGCAGAGUUACCAUUGAGUGCUGAGGGUGGAACCUCUUACAUCACUCCUGAUGAGAUCUCUGUAGUGUAGCUAUACGGUCGAGGUCAUCGAGGGUGAUUUCCUCCUUAACCACUUCCGUUACGGCUCUGUCGUGCAACCCCUCAAGUGUGAACCUCGAGGGUGGAUCCUCUUACGUUCACCUUGAUGAUAACAUCGACUGGAAUUCACCGGGGGUGAUUCCUCGGGUUUUCCCCUUGGUGUUAGACACACAGUUACUAUGGUUACUAUGACUUUGCAAUGAGCCAUGUUACUAAAGACGGGUCGGCCCUGAGGGGUACCCGCGCGAGCUUAAUUGCGAGUGAUGUGGAGUCGGGUUGACCUGGAAGGUGCCCGCAAGAUACUUACGAGGCAUGGCCGGGCAUUCUUAGCCCUUGCCGCAAGUACUCGAGACGGGGCGAUGGGGUCACAUCGAUCGUGAGUCUCUGCUCGUUACCGCGUGCUCCUAAUCCACUACGGUUUGGAUAUUUGAUCCGAGGGGCCUCUGGCCUGAUAGCACUAACCAUCACGUGGGCAUAGUAUGGGCGUUCUACGUCGUAUGCAUCAGCCGAAGCUUAAUAAACGUUAGCGACUGAGUGGCGCGCGCCGGGUUGGACUGCGUAAGCACCUGCCUUUUUGAAGGAGGUAGCUAGGUCUGCUCAUCGGCCACCCACGCAACGUGCAGGAGUUCCCGGGGCGAUGGACCAUGACCUCUGGGGGCAUAGGUUUAGUCCGGCAUGCUGGCCUCUCUAUUAAGCCUAGGUCGGGUUACGGCGUAUUGUUUGGCCAAGGCCGGGCAUGACCCAGGAAAGUGUGUCCGGUCGGAGUUAAUCGAAUGUGGUGGGUAAGUUGGUGCACCCCUGCAGGGAAGAAAACAUCUAUCGAUAGCCUGUCCUACGAUAACAGACACUUGGAGUUGUAUCCCGAUCGAUACAACUAGAACUGGAUACUUGUGAUGAGAAAUGGAUAUGAGAAAUGGAUAGUAUGGCUCUGGGAUUGCUUUCUUGGAGGGACUCAAGAAAGGAUCUCUGGCCGAGGUUGAUAACACUACUACUUUACAUUAUGUUGAUAUGUACUCUUCUAUAUGGUGCAAGAUGCUUGAAGAUGCUUGAAGAUGCUAGUCUUCGAUAGGCUAGGCUUUCCCCUUCUCUUCUGACAUUAUGCAGUUUAGUCCACAGAUACAGCUCAUUUCCUUUGAUAGAGAUGCAUACUUAGUUUAGAUCUGAUAUAAGUCUUGCGAGUACUUUGAAUGAGUACUCACAGUUGCUUUGCUACCUCUUUUUCUCCCAUACCUGUUUGUUGCGACCAGAUGAUGGAUCCCAAGAGCCAGACGACGCCACUGAUGACUACUACUACCCGGAGGAUGCCUACUACUAACUGAAGACCGCAGAUGACUAGGAGUAGUUAGGAGACUCCCAGGCAGGAGGCCUUACCUUUUCGAUCAUUGUUGCUUUUGUGCUAGCCUUCUUAAGGCAAUCUUGUCUAACUUAUGUUUGUACUCAGAUAUUGUUGCUUCCGCUGACUCUUGUGUAUUCGAGCUUAUGUAUUCGAGCCCUCGAGGCCAUUGGCUUGUAAUAUAAAGCUUAUAUUAUUUUAAUUUAUGUCUA